RNAcentral lists this ribosomal RNA (17 nucleotides) under Herpotrichiellaceae sp. RNAcentral describes it as "partial 28S ribosomal RNA". Lineage: Eukaryota; Fungi; Ascomycota; Eurotiomycetes; Chaetothyriales; Herpotrichiellaceae. The record is from RNAcentral.
GACCUCGGAUCAGGUAC